ACCCGCUGAACUUAAGCAUAUCAAUAAGCGGAGGAAAAGAAACUAACAAGGAUUCCCCUAGUAACUGCGAGUGAAGCGGGAAAAGCUCAAAUUUAAAAUCUGGUAGUCUUCGGCUGCCCGAGUUGUAGUCUGGAGAAGUGUCUUCCGCGCCGGACCGUGUACAAGUCUCUUGGAACAGAGCGUCAUAGAGGGUGAGAAUCCCGUCUUUGACACGGACUACCGGUGCUUUGUGAUGCGCUCUCAAAGAGUCGAGUUGUUUGGGAAUGCAGCUCAAAAUGGGUGGUAAAUUCCAUCUAAAGCUAAAUAUUGGCGAGAGACCGAUAGCGAACAAGUACCGUGAGGGAAAGAUGAAAAGCACUUUGGAAAGAGAGUUAAACAGUACGUGAAAUUGCUGAAAGGGAAACGCUUGAAGUCAGUCGCGUCGUCCAGAACUCAACCUGGCUUUUGCUGGGUGCACUUUCUGGUAGACGGGCCAACAUCAGUUUUGAUUGCUGGAGAAAAGCCUUUGGAAUGUGGCACCUUCGGGUGUGUUAUAGCCUUGGGUUGUAUACAGUGGUUGGGACUGAGGACCGCAGCACGCCUUUAUGGCCGGGGUUCGCCCACGUACGUGCUUAGGAUGUUGGCGUAAUGGCUUUAAGCGACCCGUCUUGAAACACGGACCAAGGAGUCUAACAUGCCUGCGAGUGUUUGGGUGGCAAACCCGAGCGCGCAACGAAAGUGAAAGUUGGCAUCCCUGUCGUGGGGAGCACCGACGCCCAUACCAGACCUUCUGUGACGGCUAUGCGGUUGAGCAUGUAUGUUGGGACCCGAAAGAUGGUGAACUAUGCCUGAAUAGGGUGAAGCCAGAGGAAACUCUGGUGGAAGCUCGUAGCGAUUCUGACGUGCAAAUCGAUCGUCAAAUUUGGGUAUAGGGGCGAAAGACUAAUCGAACCAUCUAGUAGCUGGUUCCUGCCGAAGUUUCCCUCAGGA
Molecule: ribosomal RNA, 969 nt
Filed under: Hydnophanerochaete odontoidea
Lineage: Eukaryota; Fungi; Basidiomycota; Agaricomycetes; Polyporales; Meruliaceae
Description: eukaryotic LSU rRNA
Rfam family: Eukaryotic large subunit ribosomal RNA
Source: RNAcentral